CUUUGCAUUCGGAAGCGAGCCAAUUAGCGUAGGGAAGUGGCUACAUAAAUUGUAACUUUUAAUUUGAAGGCUGACGUCAUAGCUGCAUACUGUUGGUUGUCCACCUGACUCCUGCCUUCACCGCGGGAUCCCUUGUGCUCUUUUGGCUUUCUGCUCACUGUGCAUGCAUCCAGUGACAUUCCUGGAUUGCUGUCGGCUGCUGAACAUGGGCCUCAUAGCCGACCUCAGCUGAUUGCAGAGCUUGCGGUAACACAAGGAGCGGCAACAUCAAGGCAUCUUGGUUCAAGUUCCGAACGCCGCUGUUUUGUUUUGUCCGCGCCCAAGUUGUGUUAGUCCAUUUUAAACCUUCCACACGGGAGAACUGUACAACGGACGCUCUCGUCCUGUUUUAUUCUGUCUGAAAGUGCCCUUGAACGCCCUGCGUGUUAAGUGUCCAUAGAAGCUGUGGUUGCUAAAUUAAUGAACGUUUGUGUUUUUAUUGUAAGUUGUCUCCAGAGUGUGAGUACAUAUACGAUGUAUGGUGUGUAUUAGAAUUAGGGGC
This is a long non-coding RNA of Alosa sapidissima (American shad), 541 nucleotides long. RefSeq lists it as uncharacterized. The record is from RefSeq and is a predicted model, not a curated record. The transcript is spliced from 3 exons. NCBI's taxonomy places the organism in Eukaryota, Metazoa, Chordata, Actinopteri, Clupeiformes, Clupeidae.